CAAAUUAUAGCUUAUAGAAAGUUUUUUAUUUACAUUAAAAGGUUCAUUGUGCGAUUCAAUGUGAUUUGA
Molecule: transfer RNA, 69 nt
Filed under: Limonius californicus
Lineage: Eukaryota; Metazoa; Arthropoda; Insecta; Coleoptera; Elateridae
Description: tRNA-Val
Source: RNAcentral